RNAcentral lists this ribosomal RNA (400 nucleotides) under uncultured bacterium. RNAcentral describes it as "bacterial SSU rRNA". It matches the Rfam family "Bacterial small subunit ribosomal RNA", at positions 358 to 775 of the family's 1533-position model. The record is from RNAcentral.
GGAAUAUUGGUAAUGGGCGAAAGCCCGAACCAGCAACGCCGCGUGCGCGAUGAAGGCCUUCGGGUUGUAAAGCGCUUUUUAAGGGGAUGAGGAAGGACAGUACUCUUAGAAUAAGCCUCGGCUAACUACGUGCCAGCAGCCGCGGUAAAACGUAGGAGGCGAGCGUUAUCCGGAUUUACUGGGCGUAAAGCGUGUGUAGGCGGUUUGAUAAGUUGGAUGUGAAAGCUCCCGGCUCAACUGGGAGAGGUCGUUCAAAACUAUCAGACUUGAGAGUGGUAGAGGGAGGUGGAAUUCCGCGUGUAGUGGUGAAAUGCGUAGAUAUGCGGAGGAACACCAGUGGCGAAAGCGGCCUCCUGGCCCAUUUCUGACGCUCAGACACGAAAGCUAAGGUAGCAAACGG